AUAAAUUAAAGUAAAUAAUAAAGGGCGUAUGGUGGAUGCCUAGGCUCUCAGAGGCGAUGAAGGACGUGAUAAGCUGCGAAAAGCUCCGUUUAGGUGCAAA
Molecule: ribosomal RNA, 100 nt
Filed under: Odoribacter splanchnicus
Lineage: Bacteria; Pseudomonadati; Bacteroidota; Bacteroidia; Bacteroidales; Odoribacteraceae
Description: partial 23S ribosomal RNA
Rfam family: Bacterial large subunit ribosomal RNA
Source: RNAcentral